AGAGAGAGACAUGCGCGCAUAUCAAUAAGCGGAGGAAAAGAAACUAACAAGGAUUCCCCUAGUAACGGCGAGUGAAGCGGGAAGAGCUCGAAUUUGAAAUCUUAAAGGGUUUCCCUUUACGAAUUGUAGUUUAAAGAAGUGUUUUCUGUUGAGGUUUUGGUAAAAGUUCUUUGGAAUAGGACAUCAUAGAGGGUGAGAAUCCCGUAUUUGACCUUUACUUUCAACUUUGUGAUACACUUUCAAAGAGUCGGAUUGUUUGGGAAUGCAGUCCAAAAUGGGUGGUAAAUUUCAUCUAAAGCUAAAUAUUGGCGAGAGACCGAUAGCGAACAAGUACCGUGAGGGAAAGAUGAAAAGAACUUUGAAAAGAGAGUUAAACAGUACGUGAAAUUGUCAAAAGGGAAGCGUUUGACACCAGUGUUGUUUUUCUGAAAAUCAAUUAAAGAACUGUUUAUGCUAAGUUGUUUAGACUUUAUCAGCUAACUGUUUAGUUUUGAGCUUUUCUUUAAUGCACUUUUCAGUUAACAAGUCAACAUCAGUUUCUUUUGCUGUAAAAGAGCUUGAGGAAGGUGGCUUGAGAUUCGUCUUAAGUGUUUAUAGCCUCUUGCCUAUGCAGUCGGAGAGAUUGAGGUCUGCAGCGUAGAUCCUUCGGGGCUAAAUGCAUUUGUGCUAAGUUAUAGCAUUUUAUAGACAACUUGUUGACUAUGAUUUGUCCUGUAGCUUACUCGCUUAUGUUAUUUUACCUACGCUUAGGAUGUUGAGCGCAUGUCUCUCUCU
Molecule: ribosomal RNA, 774 nt
Filed under: uncultured Neocallimastigales
Lineage: Eukaryota; Fungi; Neocallimastigomycota; Neocallimastigomycetes; Neocallimastigales
Description: partial large subunit ribosomal RNA
Rfam family: Eukaryotic large subunit ribosomal RNA
Source: RNAcentral